CUCCAGCUCUACUCGACUCAGCCU
This 24-nucleotide non-coding RNA is filed under the name Arabidopsis thaliana (thale cress). Lineage: Eukaryota; Viridiplantae; Streptophyta; Magnoliopsida; Brassicales; Brassicaceae. The record is from RNAcentral.